UGGCGAUGAAAGUGUGUUGCAUGAGUCACAUGAUGAUGGGUUUACGCUCUUCACAGCCCGCUCACUCCAGGAAUGCUCCAGCAGACAAGGAUUGUGACAGGCCACUGAAUUCUAAAACAUAGAGUGGCCAUCUCCCCGCGAGCGCGUGCGAGUCCGCCGCCAUAUUGAUUUAACCGCACUUGGCGCCGCCACCAUGGUGCCACAGGGGCAGCGCGGGACCUGCUGCGCUCAGUGGACGUACCGCACUAUUCAUUCGCGGGUGGAAAGGCAACACUCAGCUGCUCAUACGAUCUGAGCGCCACCCGCCUCUACUCUCUCAAGUGGUACCAUAACGGAACUGAGUUUUACCGUUACGUGCCCACGGAGCGCGAGCAACCUAUCAACAUCCAGCCGUCGCACAAGUUUACGGUUAACGAGCUGUUCCGCAACGACCAGCGAGUGACGCUUUCCCUAAGCCAGCUUACGGUAUCCGCCUCGGGUCAGUAUAGGUGUGAGGUGAUUGCCGAGCAUCCAAGCUUCAGGACUGAAGCUGCCAAGGCUACCAUGGUCGUCCUC
Molecule: long non-coding RNA, 555 nt
Organism: Scylla paramamosain (green mud crab)
Lineage: Eukaryota; Metazoa; Arthropoda; Malacostraca; Decapoda; Portunidae
Exons: 3
Source: RefSeq, a predicted model, not a curated record